This 492-nucleotide ribosomal RNA is filed under the name uncultured bacterium. RNAcentral describes it as "partial 16S ribosomal RNA". It matches the Rfam family "Bacterial small subunit ribosomal RNA", at positions 29 to 507 of the family's 1533-position model. The record is from RNAcentral.
AGUGAACGCUGGCGGUAGGCCUAACACAUGCAAGUCGAACGGCAGCACAGUAAGAGCUUGCUCUUACGGGUGGCGGGUGGCGGACGGGUGAGGAAUACGUCGGAAUCUACUUUUUCGUGGGGGAUAACGUAGGGAAACUUACGCUAAUACCGCAUACGACCUACGGGUGAAAGCAGGGGAUCUUCGGACCUUGCGCGAUUGAAUGAGCCGAUGUCGGAUUAGCUAGUUGGCGGGGUAAAGGCCCACCAAGGCGACGAUCCGUAGCUGGUCUGAGAGGAUGAUCAGCCACACUGGAACUGAGACACGGUCCAGACUCCUACGGGAGGCAGCAGUGGGGAAUAUUGGACAAAGGGCGCAAGCCUGAUCCAGCCAUACCGCGUGGGUGAAGAAGGCCUUCGGGUUGUAAAGCCCUUUUGUUGGGAAAGAAAAGCAGCAGGUUAAUACCCCGCUGUUCUGACGGUACCCAAAGAAUAAGCACCGGCUAACUUCGUG